RNAcentral lists this transfer RNA (74 nucleotides) under bacterium. RNAcentral's name for it is "tRNA-Gln". It matches the Rfam family "tRNA". From Rfam's summary of the family: Transfer RNA (tRNA) molecules are approximately 80 nucleotides in length. RNAcentral also lists the same sequence under 1 other name. The record is from RNAcentral.
UGCAGGAUCGGCUAAUGGUAGGCCAGAUGACUCUGGAUCAUCCAGUCCAGGUUCGAAUCCUGGUCCUGCAGCCA